RNAcentral lists this ribosomal RNA (590 nucleotides) under Aphelenchoides fujianensis. Its description in RNAcentral is "eukaryotic LSU rRNA". It matches the Rfam family "Eukaryotic large subunit ribosomal RNA", at positions 382 to 796 of the family's 3401-position model. The record is from RNAcentral. Lineage: Eukaryota; Metazoa; Nematoda; Chromadorea; Rhabditida; Aphelenchoididae.
AGAGAGUGCAAGAGAACGUGAAACCGACAUAAUGGAAGCGGAUGGAGCCGACGUAUCUGGUGCGUAUUCAAUCGCUCGCGACGGCAAUCGUCUGUUCAGCAUUCCGCAAGGUUGUUGAGCGGGCGUUCGUUUGUCGGCGUGGACGAUGCACUUGCGUACGGAGUGCGCCGAGUGGGUUGACGGUGUCGUCGGAGGCGCGUUUAGAGGACUUGGCGUGGCAACACGUCGAGAACCCUGAACGUGCGGAAGGCGAGCGUCGUUGGCUUGUUGCUUGUGGGACGGGUGAAUUCGUGGGCGUGCGUUGCGGUGCGUGAGACUCGUGUACGACACAUGUGUCGUGCGCUUGCUUCGCGUAUCGUGUGCGUUCGUCUGCCCUCGUCCUCGACUCGGUGUAUAGUCGGUCACCCAUUUGACCCGUCUUGAAACACGGACCAAGGAGUUUAAGGUGUACGCGAGUCAUUGAGCUUAUUGUCGAAACUCAACGGCGUAAUGAAAGUGAGACUCUUGGAGUCGACGAUGUGAACGGGGCGCGUUUCGACGUUCUUCGUGCAACAUCGCCCCGUGACUUGGACUUGUCCUGUUGCGGAGGU